RNAcentral lists this long non-coding RNA (1214 nucleotides) under Pongo abelii (Sumatran orangutan). RNAcentral describes it as "lincRNA". Lineage: Eukaryota; Metazoa; Chordata; Mammalia; Primates; Hominidae. The record is from RNAcentral.
CAGCCGCUGACUGCGACCCUGGGGACACUGGAGGGGACUCCAGGGACAGAGUGGGUGGGCCUUUCCCCCCCGCACGCGCCUCUGUCACUCUCUUUCGGGGCCAGAGCCGGGGCAGCGCUUUAAAUUAAGGUCGACCUCCAGCGCUGGGUGAAGUCUUGGGUCCGCCCGGGAGCCCUAGAAGAAACUGGGGCAGCAUGAAUGUGCUGGAAGAUUAGAGGCUGCUGACACUGAAGGAAGGAGAAAUGAGGAGGAAGAUCCCUGUGGACAAGUCAUCUCCCUUCAUUUAAGCCAGGCCAGUAGUCCGGGAGACAUUCCGAAUGAUGCAUUAUCCUAGGCACCAGAAAGUAGCUAACAUUCUCAUGGACAGCAGGGAAAAAUGAAUACAUGAGACAGGGGAAGAUUCCAGCACCUGUGAACAUGUUUAUGCAGGUUUCCAGUCAGUACACGGAUAUCCCUCAAGCCUUUGAAUGCAGUCUCCUGUGUUGUGAUUGGACCGUUCGUUAUUAGGUUUCCAAUGGCAGAGUAACGCAGUGGGAGAACUGGCUAUGAUGGCCACAGGAAGUAAAUAAAGUAUUGUUGUGUUUUUAGUAGAACCACUAAAGGAAGAUCUGCAGGCAACUUGGAUGAGUAUAAUAGCCAAAGAUUGACAAGACUUCCUCAGAUGCUCCUACUGACCAGUGGGGGCACUUCUACAGCUCCCGGAAUAUGUUCUCCCUGCAACCCCCACCACUUUUUAAUUAAAUGGCCAGAACUGCCUUUUUGUAUCAAAACUUAUUUUAGUCUAUCAAUCAAAGAAGGCUUCUAUAGCCCACCUCAUGGCGAAGGAUAUCAGACAUGUAAAAGAUAAUUGUUUUGACAUAUUUAUUAUCACUACUAGCGACUCUUUUGGCAUUCACGUUGGCUGGUAUGCAGAAAAGGGUGCUUUACAGGAUUCUUGGAAAUGUGUAGUGGAUGCUGGCUCUAGGGGAGGCAGAAUAGAGUGUGGGCUCUGCCGUGGGUCACAUCCAGGUUUUAAUUCUUCUACCUCUGCCACAUGACCUUGAGCACACUGGAAAACCCUAUUAGAUGUGCAAGAAGGCUUCCUCAUCUGUAAAGGGGGAAUAGCAAUACUUAAGUCACCCGGUUGUUGUGAGUAAUACAUAAGUUAAUGUAUGCUAACUUUCUAGAAAGUUUCCUGGCACAAAGUUAUAUUUAAUAAAUGAUUUUUAAAACAA